RNAcentral lists this ribosomal RNA (540 nucleotides) under Bifidobacterium breve. RNAcentral describes it as "bacterial SSU rRNA". It matches the Rfam family "Bacterial small subunit ribosomal RNA", at positions 161 to 711 of the family's 1533-position model. Lineage: Bacteria; Bacillati; Actinomycetota; Actinomycetes; Bifidobacteriales; Bifidobacteriaceae. The record is from RNAcentral.
UGGUAAUGCCGGAUGCUCCAGUUGAUCGCAUGGUCUUCUGGGAAAGCCUUUGCGGCAUGGGAUGGGGUCGCGUCCUAUCAGCUUGAUGGCGGGGUAACGGCCCACCAUGGCUUCGACGGGUAGCCGGCCUGAGAGGGCGACCGGCCACAUUGGGACUGAGAUACGGCCCAGACUCCUACGGGAGGCAGCAGUGGGGAAUAUUGCACAAUGGGCGCAAGCCUGAUGCAGCGACGCCGCGUGAGGGAUGGAGGCCUUCGGGUUGUAAACCUCUUUUGUUAGGGAGCAAGGCAUUUUGUGUUGAGUGUACCUUUCGAAUAAGCACCGGCUAACUACGUGCCAGCAGCCGCGGUAAUACGUAGGGUGCAAGCGUUAUCCGGAAUUAUUGGGCGUAAAGGGCUCGUAGGCGGUUCGUCGCGUCCGGUGUGAAAGUCCAUCGCUUAACGGUGGAUCCGCGCCGGGUACGGGCGGGCUUGAGUGCGGUAGGGGAGACUGGAAUUCCCGGUGUAACGGUGGAAUGUGUAGAUAUCGGAAAGAACACCA